This 434-nucleotide ribosomal RNA is filed under the name uncultured bacterium. Its description in RNAcentral is "partial 16S ribosomal RNA". It matches the Rfam family "Bacterial small subunit ribosomal RNA", at positions 341 to 792 of the family's 1533-position model. The record is from RNAcentral.
ACGGAAGGCAGCAGUGGGGAAUAUUGCACAAUGGGCGAAAGCCUGAUGCAGCGACGCCGCGUGAGCGAAGAAGUAUUUCGGUAUGUAAAGCUCUAUCAGCAGGGAAGAUAAUGACGGUACCUGACUAAGAAGCACCGGCUAAAUACGUGCCAGCAGCCGCGGUAAUACGUAUGGUGCAAGCGUUAUCCGGAUUUACUGGGUGUAAAGGGUGCGUAGGCGGCACGGCAAGUCAGAAGUGAAAUCCCAGGGCUCAACCCUGGAACUGCUUUUGAAACUGUCGAGCUAGAGUACAGGAGAGGUAAGCGGAAUUCCUAGUGUAGCGGUGAAAUGCGUAGAUAUUAGGAGGAACACCAGUGGCGAAGGCGGCUUACUGGACUGACACUGACGCUGAGGCACGAAAGCGUGGGGAGCAAACAGGAUUAGAUACCCUGGUA